UGAGGAACAUGACCUUCGGCGGGGGAUAGCCGGCCCAACGGCCGGGUAAUACCGCGUACGACCACAUGGGGACAUCCCUGAGUGGUGAAAGCAGCAAUGCGCCGAUGGAGUGCCUCGCGGCCUAUCAGCUAGUUGGUGAGGUAACGGCUCACCAAGGCGACGACGGGUAGCUGGUCUGAGAGGAUGGCCAGCCACAUUGGGACUGAGACACGGCCCAGACCUGUACCGGGGAGG
Molecule: ribosomal RNA, 234 nt
Filed under: uncultured bacterium
Lineage: Bacteria
Description: partial 16S ribosomal RNA
Rfam family: Bacterial small subunit ribosomal RNA
Source: RNAcentral